CGUGAUCCGCCCACCUCAGCCUCCCAAAGUGCUGGGAUUACAGGCGUGAGCCACCGCACCUGGCCAAGAAGCAUUUUCUAAACUAAUCUUCUCCUACAAAUAGCCCCUGGACCUUGAGGAUCAUAAAUGGUCAUCAUUUAACAUUUUUUUCUGCUAGAAGUAUUGAGCCUCUUUGUUGUAUUGAGACCAAAAGAAGAUCUGUCACCCCCCUCCACUCCCCUACAGAUGUACAUACAACUUUCGGCAAUCUCAGAGAGUUUGAAGCUACAAUUCUAUUACAAACGACGUGCUACAAGUAUGCUUUUAAAAUAAAUUAUUUUUCCAGUUUUUUCACUUUAACCUCUGCCCCAGUGGUCGUAAAAACAGAGGCAUGGAGACUGAGUUCUUUUCUGUGGACCAUUAUGCAUCUAUCUUUUCCAAUAGUUUCCUUUGCCUCUGCUCUUUUUUGCUGUACAAAGACAGAAAUUUCUAAACAGAGCCUUUAAUAGUCCAUUACUUUUUACCCAUGUUAUGCAAUGUAGCUUUAAAGACGAACUUUUCCAGCAAACUGCUGCUUGUGUGAAUGCCUGUUUGGGAGUGAGACUUCCCUACUGGAAAAAUAACUAACACACACUACACCAUAGUUACGAUUACAUCACAAUAAAUAUUCUAUGCAGGACUAGGAACAGUUCCUCAAAGAAAAAUGCUUGGGGAACGGGUAAUUGGAAUGAACUACAAGCAUUUUCACUGAGCUCAAAGAAACUGCAAGAAAAAAGAUCUUCGAUCUGCAUCCAAGUAUUUUUUUUGUCUGAAAGAACACUGUGUGAGGAAUUUUGACAUUCUCUGCAUUCUAAUGAAAAUGACUUGGAAAGUAGAGGCUUCUCUAUACAUUUGCCUCAUUGCCGCCACGAUGGGCACCGUUUAUCAGGAAUAAAGAGAGAAGAUCAAGAAAGUAGUUCUUUUCUGGAGAAUUUUGUGCUCUGGCUCUUAAGUACUUUUGCUUUGCCAUGAAUGUGAAUAUUUUAAAGGCCAAAAAAGCCCCCUCCAUUUGAGUUGCAGAUGGCCACAGGAACCCAACAAGAAUGCUAACAACUCAUUUUAAAAAGGGAAAAAGAAAGGAAGUGCCAAGUUCCACACUGCAUAUCCAUACUGAUGUUGAGCCCAUCUUGGCCUAGCUGGUAGAACUGAAAAUUGAGAAUAAUAUUAAGGGGCUGCAAUGAUCCCUAAGGGUAAAAAUAAAUGUGUUUCUGAAAACAACAGCCACAUCCACAAUGAAAUAGACAUGAAACAAGAUAACCCAAGAACACAUUUGUUUUCCUUGUAACAGGGAUGCGUUAAGUUCAUUAUUCAGAGGACUUUGAUUACCCUUUUCAAAGAUUUUUGGUGAGUUUAAUUUUCAAGGCUGUUAACCACUGAUGUCAACUUAAUUAUAGCAAGCAAACAACCAACCCAUAAUGUAUGAUGCCAAUUGUUGGUUUUACUCUAGUCUUGCAUUAGACUUGGAUUUCUUUGCUCAUUUAUAACUUUCUGAGGGAGGAAGGUUUCUGCGCAGUCACUUGCUUUCCCUUAGCUGGUGUCUUUGUUCUCCAGUUUGCCAUGGGGGAUUGAGGGAACAGAUAUUUAUGACUUAUUAUCUCAGUAUUAACAGUGCCCCCUCAAUGAUUUAUGAAGCUGUGCUGUUGCAUUUCUAACCUUGAUGUCCUUCUGAUUAUUGUUCUCAAAUGGUAAGAUUAACACAGUGGGGCCCAAAGAUUCUUAAUCAGUUUCUUGCAUACAAAUUCACCCAAAUGUAGGGAAGAGAGAGUCCUUGGUGGCAUAACGACUUCCAGAUGGAAUGAACUGAGAACAUCUAAGCACUUAACCCAAAGCACCCUUAUAUUUGUCACCAUGAACAUGAUGUCCUCACACUAAAAUUUAGUUAUACUUUUGUAUCUCAGCAUUCAAUGAACUAGAAUUCUAGAAUGGCAUGUACAUCUUGUGUUAAAGUUCAGGACAUUUGUUGGUAUAUGUGUUUCUUUUCUUCCAAAGGGUGACAGUGAUCCAGGAUGAAGGUCCUUUGACUAUACAUUUCAGCGUUCAAUUGAGGUAAAAUAAUGGUGAUUUUCGGGAAAGAAAAAUUAUCCCUGUCCUUUUUCCAGGGGUCCCUGGAGGUACUUUGUUGAAUUUUUCUAAUCUUGUGCAUGGACUUCUCAAAAGCUGAUCUGGCAGACAAUCACAGUUGGCCACUCAGUCACUACCCUUACAGCUACUAGCGGCCAUGAGACAGUGAUCUGACCCAUGAAAUGUAAAGAGAAUUUCUGGGGGGACUUUGGAAACUCUUUUGCGUUCUCAUUAAAAGGCAAAGCUUAAGACACAAGCUCUUUGGUGCCAUCCCUUCCCUUGAACCUGAAUACAGUGAUCAUCUUGUGAUCAAGAGGCAAGAAACCUGAGGACAAAAAGCCAACAUGCUUAGGGAAGUAAGAAGAAAAAUGGAGAAAUUUUGAGUUUUUGAUGACAUCACUGGGCUGUAGGAGCAACCCCAAGAUCACCUAUGUAGACUAUCUUGUUACAUAAACAAGAAAUGCCUUUAUGGUUUAUGUCCCUGCUACUUGCAGCCAAAAACAUUCUUAUGUGAUACAGGAAGCAAGGUCUAGGGUGGAGGCAAGAACAGAAAGGACGGGGGCAGCAGUAAUGGCUGGUAAAUUCUGUUAGGAAGUGUUGCCCCAGAGACUAAUGAAGGGAUGGAAAAUGCUGCUUGAUGCCUAGGAGCUGUUGCAGCCAUAGCUGCCUUGGCCUUCCACCUGAGGAUGAUGCCAGGUUUUGUCAAUAUCAUGACAGUGAUAUUAAUGAUAUUCAACAAAGGGGGCAAGAAUACAAGCAAUUAGUUGAAUUCUUAGAGCUCAGUGAAAGAGUGUAAGGGCAAAGCAGACAGCAGGAGAGUAAAAACGAAGUUUGUUUGCUUCCCUUUGUGGUUUAAUUUGCCCAAACUGAAUGGUUUAGAAGUAUAUCCCUCAGCUGAAAGUCUAACUGCCUGUGUCUUGUGGAACAUACCUGUAUUUGUAACUUGCAUCUUCUGUGUGGGUGAGGACCAGGGGGCAUAAAACCAUGUGGGGGGAUUUUCCUUCUUCCCAAGGGAGAGCUGAUGACCAAGGCUGAAUUCCAAGGUAGCAGAGUUCCAGCUGAGGACUGGCCAGUGGUAACCUGGACCCCAGCUUCCUCAACCACCAUAUAAGCUGGUGUUGUAGAGGUGUGUGUGUGUGUGUGUGUUUCUUGAAAACACUCCUAUUCAAAGCAAAGCCAGGUCAGCCUUAAAAGCAAGCUGACAAAAAGAACUAUAAAACCAGGGGUGGAUUACAUUUCAGAGUGGUUCCUUAAAUUACAACUAUCACUAACAGGCAUUAGUCAGCUAUUUCUAGUUUAACUAAAAAGUAAAAGGUAUAUUCAACUUGUCUUUAUUCUAUUUUUCUUCUUAUGCUAAACAUUUAAGCUCCUUCAUUUCUGCUAUAAUAUUUUGAAAUGGUGAUAAAUCUGUUUUAGCUUGAAACUUGGUUUCUUCAAUAUACGCAGUCAGCAAAUAGUUAUUGCGUGUCUCCAUACCAGUGAGUGUGUGUGUCUGUGUAAGACAGAGGGAAGGUGAGGUAGAGAGAGAAAGAGAGAGAGAGCAUGAGAGAGUGUGCGUGAGAGAGAGCCAACAGCAUCCUUUCAGGAUCUUGUACAUAGAAAUGAAAGCCGUGAAUGAAGCUGUAGUUCAAUUUGAUUAGGAAAAUGCACUCUAAAAUACUGAGAGGAUGUGAUGCCAGGCAAACUGAGCUGCUGGCUGGAGAACACUGAACAAAGAUGAAAUUGUUUCUGGAUCUUAACUCACUCUUAUGCAGAAUGUCUCCUGACUUGCUUUAUCCCUCUUUCCCUUGCAGCAGUCAGUGACAGGCUGGGUGGAAAGUUGUCCUUCCUCUCAGAGAAUGUUAACUCAUCAGCCUCCAGGUGUGGCUCCGGCCUAUUGGCUGCCUUUCCCUUUGAAGGCACAGACACUCUUGAGAGAAUCUUGAGCUGGCUUUGGAGCUGGGACCCCUUUGCACUCCCACUUUGGAUGUCUUCACUGGGUGGCAGACUAGUCAACCCGCUAGGCUCUAGCUAUUUCUGAAUAGGUUCUUUGAAGUUACUGGAGACCCAAGUGGUUUGCUACAUUUUGCAUAAGUAAUAGAACAGUGCAUAAACCCCCUUGCCCAGCAUCACUUAAUACACCUGCUUCUGCUGAUGCUCUUUGAAGAUGCCUCCGUGGAGGGCAUUGCAAACUGCUCUGCACAUUCAUAUUCAACCCGUGUGCAGUAUGCAUGGACCACUGCAGGCUGAGAGCCGCGUGCCUGGCGCGGCCCGCCUCUAGCACUGUCUCCAGUCAUUCCACUGUGCUCACAAAGAAGUCCAAGAAAUAGAAAAACAUAAAAAGCUAUUGUCCAUGUCCAGUGAGAAAUGAAAUGCACUGGACCGCGUAUCACAACUUCCUUAAAAUAAUACAACUUUAUCACUUUUGCAUCUGAUCCUGCUCAUGGUUUGCAAAGUCAUAAACCCCUUGAAAUCAAUAGCUUGAGCCAUCGCUGCUCUAUUCUAUUUAAACACAUCCUCUAAAGAAGCAAUUUAUUACGAACUCUCUAUGGUUUCACCUUAUCUAAAACACUUAAUUCAGUCCAUCUCCUGCUUUGCUUUGUAGUGUUGGAAGCAAUCAGAAGACUGGAAGCAAUUUACUAAUAAGAGAACAUGCCCUACAGCUCUGGCCUGUGAAAAGAGUUUCAGAAUCACGAUGUAGCCACAAGUCAAAUUCUAGAAAGAAUUAAUGGCACAUCUCAUAGUUCUUUCAUUUGCUGGCUGAUUCAUUCCAGAGUGGUUUUGAGGACAGAAUGAAGCAAGAUGAAAAACAGCACUUUGAAAAUGGAGUGUGUGGUAUUCAUCUUAGAUACACUUUUAGAGAAGAAGAAAUGUGUCUCAGAAAAAGGACCUCUUCUGACUCAAAUUUAGCUUACAUCCCCUUCUCAACCAUAUCCCAGGUGAUAAAAUAUGACACCCAGCAGAAAUUCCAUCCAAACACAGGAAAGAAGCAGGCCCGGGGGCUUGGAGAUGAUACUUGUCCAGAAAUCCCAUGAUUAUUUUGCUAUAGCAGACGAUGACCUUCUCAAAGGAAGCCUAUCAAACGCUCAAGAUAAAUAAUGAGAAGGUCUCUCUCUCCUGCCUCCAGGAAAAAACUGCACAGAGGAAAAAUGUUUGCUAAACCAUUAAUAUGUUCAUCCCAGGAUGGGAAGCAGCUUGGUCUAAAAGAAACAGAGUGGCACAUGUGUUUGUGUGUGACCAGUGGCCCCAUUCAACAGGACUCCUGGGGCAGCAUCCAUGGAGGGGCCUCAGGAGACACACCUAAGCCCUUUACCCAGUAACGUCGGAAAUGAAUGUUUCUCUGGUGGCAGACAGGGUACCUUCUAAACCUCUUGACUCAUGAGCAAAUUAACUCAAGGAUGGCCAACACCCUCUUAUCACUUGAGACUCAGAAGAAGGGAAAUCUCCUCUGAAUUCUUUUCUGACCAGGGGCCCUGAUGACUGCCCCUUGUUGUCCCUUCAUCCCUGUGUGGACCAUUCUCAUGGCAUGGUGGGUAUUUACUGUGUAUAUCGGUUGCCAUAGCUCAGUCUCCCUUGUAGGGACUGAACCUAUUUAUCUUCACAUCUCUUGUGGCCAGAACACACCUGGCAUAUAGGUGGUCCAUAAAUGCUAGUGGAAUAAAAGGAGGAUGCUAAUUAUGUUUAUUUACUGGUCAUCCUUUUCCCCCCUAUCACUUUAACUUUCACCUCUCUAAUGCCCUUUAAUGUCCUUGAAAGCGAUUGAAUUCCUAAGACAAGCUGCCAUACUUUCUGGUGGAGAAUACACAUUUAUUUCCUGAAGGGUAGUUAAUGUCUAAUCACCCAGAAGACAUUUAGGUUUCUUUUAUUUAGAAAGCGGAGAUAAUAACUCCCCCAGUAAGUAAACAGGAAAAUAGACUUUGUUCUUCAAAAAAAAUUUGAUUAACAUAGUUUCAAGGAACAUUUCUACUGUUGUAAACCAAGGUUCUUGAAAUAAUCAACAACAUUACAGAUUGCAAGGUUAGAGAUUAAAACAUGCAAAAUAAGUGGAAUCAUACCAUUUAGCAAUGGAAAGACAGACUAUGUCGGUGAGGUGUUUUAAAUACCCAAACAGUUUUAUGACAAAAAAAAUCCUCACUAUAAACAAAAUGAAUUAGGGAUUUGCCUUGGAAUGAAGGUUUAAAAAUAAUGGGAUGAGUUUAAAGAAUACUGCAGGCCCUUAAAGACGAUGAGAGAUUUUGAGAGGCCUGAGUGACUUCAGUGGGGUCCAUCCCUAAAAUAAUGAAGGACUAAGUAAGUCAAACCUUAGGGUCGCCUCUGCAGAUCUUUAGCCUGGCCUGUGCAAUUGUAUUGCACAGAGGAAUACAAUAUGGCAGGAACAGACCAAUGUAACAGGUAGCAAUUGUUCACGCACCAGAUCUGGCACCAGCUACCAGAGGGAGGGUGAAAGAGGGGAAAAUUAUCUUUUCUUCAACUCUGUGAAGACUUAGAGUUUCAGAUAGUUAAAUGUGAGUGGGCUGGUGUUUCCUCUUUGCUAGAUUUAGUGUGUGCGGUUUCUCUGCCAUGUAUAUCUAUAGUUCUCUAAAGUGACUGGAGAAAUACUUUUCCUUAAAUCAGUGGUAAAGAAGUUACUGGCAAAAUGUCCCUUAAAUAUUCCUGUUGGGUGCUACCAAAGGAUUAUUUAAAAUCAUGAAAAUAAUCCAAAAGCUGCUCCCACUGGAAAAUGACUAGGAGAAAGAUGUUUAAAUUCAAAACUGCUAAGCACGGACACCUACCUAAACACACACACACACACACACACACACACACACACACACACACACCCUUCCUCUGAAGCUUUCCAGGGAUAGCUAUAGAAAUUUCAUUUUAAGCAAGGGAAAAAAAAAUAGAAUCACCCCCUCACAAAAAUGUUUGAGUAUAUUUUGGUCUCUUGGUCAGGGCCAAUAAAGAUCUCUUGUUGUGAGCCAACUAGAACAGAAAUGGAGUGAGAGAUGUACUACUUUAUGUGGUCUGAAUGUGAUUAGCGAUUAGCGCUGGUGGCUUCAGUCACUUGGGAAUGGCAAUCAGGGUUUUGCUCCUGCAACUCUGAACGACUACAAAACACCCUUGGCUUCCAUCCCAUAUGAUGAUGGGAUAUUAACUGAAAAUCUAAUUAAUCUGUGAAUGAAUUAUGGCCUAAGAAAUAUACCAUUUUAUAAUCAAUUUUAAGCGAGUCCCUAACAGAAGAUAAGAUGAAGAAAAAGCUGUAAAAUUGUAAGAGGUUGGUACAUUCUGUUCACUAUGACUGAUGAUUUUAAGGGGGAUAAUUUUACAAUCCAUCACAUUUUUGUCAUUUUAAAAAUCAUGCCUCCCAAUGAAUGUUGUAAAUUAACUUUAGAAUUUACAUAUUUAUUAAAAAUUGUAUAGAAAACAGCAGGAACUGUGCCCCAUUUGAAUAAUAAAAUAACUUGUUAUUCCACUGAAGACAAAAACACACAAAAAAAUCAAAAGAUUUUAUUUUCAGGUAAUAAUCAUAUUAAUUGCUAUCUGAAUUAGUUAAACCAAGAAUUAAUAUUCACCAGAGGCAGUGACACAGCAUUAAAGAUAAUCCUCCAAAUUCCCAUUUUCAAACAUGUCUCAGAACAUGUAAAAGCAAGGGAAAGACAAAUGGGGAGGUGAGGACCAUGUUCUUAGCCUGCGGGGUUGGGCAGCAGCAGAUGUUUGAAGCUGAGCUACAUCACCUGGGGGAAGGGGAGGUGCAGACAGCAAAACACAUGAUUUGGCUCUGAGAUGAAGAAGCACAGGACUUCAUUUUAAAAGCCUCUUUGCUUGUGAGGCUGAGGUGGGCAGAUCGUUUCAGACCAGGAGUUCGAGAUCACCCUGGGCAACACGGUGAGACUCUAUCUCUACAAAAAAUACAAAAAUUAGCUGAGUGUGGUGGCAGGCACCUGUGGUCCCACCUACUUGGGAGGCAGAGGUGGGAGGAUUGAUCAAGCCCAGGAGAUUGAGGCUACAGUGAGCCGUGAUGGCACCACUGUACUCUAGCCUGCGUGGUGGAAUGAGACACCAACUCAAAAAAAAAAAAAAAAAAAAGCCUCUUUCCAAAAAGAUUCUCUACUCUACUUCUCCUACUUUGGUUGAACUCCCUACCCAGAAUGGAAGGUUUGCUGGAGGCAACAGAACAUCCCAGAUGACUCCAGAGCAUGCAGGGAAAUAACCAGAAGGGCAUGGAACCAUGCCACAUAACAUGUGGGUGAAUACAACCAUUCACUCUAGAUUAACCUCAUAAUGGACUGUCAACUCAAAGAACUGGCUCCAAGAUAGGAACUGCAUGGAUUCAUCCACAGAAGGAUGAAGGGGUCAAGGGGAAUAGAACUGGUGUGUUACCACAUGUACUCACUAGUAAGAGUAACCCAUUGGGCUGAACUGACACAAGAUGUUCUCUUGAAAUUCCUGAGAGAUGAGGGAGAAGGAUAAUGCAGUACAUGUUUUUCAUGAACUUCAGUUUAAUCAUGAUUCCUUCUUUCCAUGAGGGAUUCAUGAUAGGCUGUUACCACUAUUUUUAAGAAAAGAGCAGAGAUCCUUCAUGAAGUACUGUAGUUGAGUGUGAGGCUUGGCUCACACUGCCUCUGCUACUCAGAGUUCAUUGCUUCAGUGCAGACAUGGCUAAUACCUGGCACUUGUGCGGCAACCAACUCCUCUCAUGCCCACAGCAGGCAUUGCUUAUCAGUCUCUGUCAUCUGUCAUCUGUCAUCCCAAGCAUGGAUAGGGCCUCAGAAUCCUUCUUAACACCACAAUUCAGGCAACCUCUGUCUAUUGAUUGUCCUUGGCAUUUGAGAUGAAAGCUAUCUUGCAUCCUUGUGUGUGUGUGUGUGUAUUUAUACAUGGGAAAUAUUUAUAUAUUAUCAGCAUAUAAUUAAAUCUAGCUAGCUAUAUAUUACAUCUAUAUACAGAGAUCCAAAUACCUAUAUUAUAUCUAACUGUCUGCUAAUGGUGUAGUCAUAUUCCUUAGUAUCUGCAGCUAAUAUGAGAUAUAGAUUGAUAUCUUAGUAUAUGAAAACUUGAAGUCACCUUUGACUCUUCUCUUUGUCUCAUACUCCACAUCUACCAGUCUUCUGGUAAAUUGCCUGUUUGUUCUCAGAAACAGCAAGUCCUUGAAUAAUAUCCUUUUGUUCAAUGUUAUUUUUUUAUAACAUUGAUGAGAAAAAAAAAUCAAUUCCUGCCAGGCCACUGUCUGUGUGGAGUUGGUAUGUCUCCCCAUGUCUGUGUGGGUUUUCUCCAGGGACUUCAGGUUCCUCUCACAUCCCAAGGCUAUGCGUGAGAGAUAAAUUGGUGUGUCUACAUGGUCCCAGCAUCAGUGAGCAUAAGUGUUCUGCAAAGGAACUGUGUCCUGUCCAGGGCUGGUUCCUGCUUUGUGUCCUAACUGCUGGGAUAGAUUCCAGCCACCUGCAACCCUGAGCUGGAAUAAUUGGGAAAAUAAUGGACUUACUUGUUUUUAUUCACCUUUCUUAAGUACGUGUACAGUUCACAUGUGUUUCAAUGUUUAAUAUUAGAAGUGUUCUGGUCUCUGUUUAGAAGUUUAGUAAUGUUUCUGUGACCAGGAAUAUGCCCUAGGAACUCAGCUCUUGCUUGUAUCAAUUAGCCUCGGAUAAAGUUGGUUUCUUUAUAUGUUGUUUUGCCUAAAGUCACAGCUUCUGAGAACCUACAACUUUAAGCAAGGACUUACUGUGCAUUCUUCUCCUUUCCCCUGCUCCACUCUGCACCAUAGGAACUACAUUUUCCAGGCUCCCUUUAUUUCUGGCUUCUGGGAAGGUUCAGCCAAUGGGAAGCAAUAGCAGAAGGCAGAAGCCUGGACAGUAAGAGGAGGGGGGGAAACAAGGCAUUUCUCCCCUUCUCUGUGUCCUGUGCUGUUCCUAGCAGCACCCACUUCUCCCUCACUGCUCUAACUUCCACCAUGUGCCCCUUCCCAUCCAUGGUUUUAGCUUCCAUUGGACAGUCCAGCUUCUAGACUCUAAUGUCACUCUGCCAUUUCCCUCCAUCCUUAAAGAGGGUGGUGACUUCCUGCUCUGCUAAUUUCUAGAUCAUGACUGUCUCCUGUUGAGUAUCUCAGCUAUUCCAUUAUUUGGAUAAGCCGUUUACUGUAUUGAAUUCCCUCUACUGAAAGGCCUAAAAUAGUUCCCAUUCCAUGCUAGGCCCUGACCAAUACAAUCAGGAAAUUCUGUUUGUGCAACUUUAAUCCAGUCAUUCUUCACCAUUUGUUUUUUGCUACCAUCAGCUCUUGCCUAGAUGACCACAUUAGUUUCCCAACUGUGCUUCCACUCUCUCCUCCUGAUAGCCUGUUCUUCAUACAAAAGCCAAGGCAUCCCUUAGAAACUGUAAAUCAGGUCAUCCCACUCCCCUGUUAAAACUCCUCAGAUGGUUUCCCUUUGCUGACAAUGAAUCCUAAAAUUCUCCCCACAGCCUAUAAGGUCCGAUAUAAGUGGCUCCUAGAUUCUUCUCCACACUAUUUCUCUUCCUCUCUGUGGUUCUGCUCCAGCCAUAAUGGUCCAGGGACACGUCACACAUACCCCUCCUUCAGGGCCUUUGCACUUGCUAUACCCGCUACCUAACAUGUUCCUCUUUCGAUUAGUCACGUUUCAGUGUUUCACUUCAUUCAAACCUGACAGAGCAAGAGAAUCACCAUCUUGGACAAGCACCGCCAUUUUAAAAUGCCCCUUGAUCAAAAACCACCUAAAUCCAAAGGGCAUCAGCCUAAUGGCUAAGAUCAGCAUGACCAUAAAUCACAAAUGACAUCUCCGACCAGAAACAUUCCAACAAUAAGAUAAACCCCUCCCUGACUGGAGGGAUGUCAGCCCCAAGAUAGCCUCUCCUCCAACCACAGACAUUCCCACCCUGCAAUAAACUUCUCCCCGCCACAGAAAUAUUCCAAGCCCGUGAUAAGUUCUCUCACCCUGAACCCUUAAAUACUAUUAGUCUGUAAGAGAGAGCACUCUUGACAAAAAUUGGCCAGAAGCCCCUGUCAGGUUUAUUCUCCAAAAUAAACCUGUCUUUGACCUUUCAGCUGCUUUUCAUGUUUCUUUCCUUUCUUUACCUCUUACAAAACCUCUGUUCAAAUGUCCCUUCUUCAGAAAGGCCUUUCCCAAUCAGUCACUCUGAAGCCAUGCCCUCAUUAUAUCCCAUCUAUGAAGCCUGCUUGAUUUUAUUUUAUUUUAUUUUAUUUUAUUU
RNAcentral lists this long non-coding RNA (11259 nucleotides) under Homo sapiens (human). RNAcentral describes it as "HSALNT0305919". Lineage: Eukaryota; Metazoa; Chordata; Mammalia; Primates; Hominidae. The record is from RNAcentral.